RNAcentral lists this ribosomal RNA (210 nucleotides) under Triticum aestivum (bread wheat). Its description in RNAcentral is "partial small subunit ribosomal RNA". The record is from RNAcentral. Lineage: Eukaryota; Viridiplantae; Streptophyta; Magnoliopsida; Poales; Poaceae.
AUGGCACGAAGAGGCACUGUAGCCUACCAUCUAGACUUACCCGAAGACUUGUCCGACAUUCACGACGUGUUCCACGUCUCUCAGUUAAGGAAGUGCGUAAGCAACCCAGAGAAACAAGUAUCCCAUGAAAACAUUGAUGUGCAGCCAGACCUCACUUAUCGGGAACAUCCCGUAAGAAUAUUAGAGGAGUCUGAAAGGAGGACCCGAUAG